ACUCGACACUAACAUGUAAAAACAUGUAGGAUCAUGUCAUGUUAGGAUCAUUUUUAUGUUGUUUCUAAUUUUACAGAAGCAUUGUAGUGACAUCAUUCCACAUAGAAGAGACCUCAUCAUUGUGACUUUCCACAUGUCUCCAGUUUGGGGCACUCACUUCAUUACAGUAUGUGAGUCUUGGGAAUGUGGCGAUUGUAAAGUGUGUGGCACAGAAGUAUCCAGUAGGUAUGAGUUAUUGAAACUAAUUCUAAGCUCAAACAUGGACAUUUUGGGGCUAGGUUCAGGCAUCCUAUGCAGCAUACCCCUCUGCUGUGAGUAAGACAUAAAUGCUGAAAUGUGAAAACCUGUUGUAUGU
This is a long non-coding RNA of Puntigrus tetrazona (Sumatra barb), 355 nucleotides long. RefSeq lists it as uncharacterized. The transcript is spliced from 3 exons. Lineage: Eukaryota; Metazoa; Chordata; Actinopteri; Cypriniformes; Cyprinidae. The record is from RefSeq and is a predicted model, not a curated record.